AGGUCAUUUCAAAGAGGGCUUGUGGGGCUGUGAAACCAGGAGCUCUCAACACCGUGACCAAAGACUGAACUUCUCCAUAGGAUGCUGUAGUCAUCCUAUGUAGUAAAUAAA
Small nucleolar RNA from Equus asinus (donkey), 111 nucleotides. The record is from Ensembl. Lineage: Eukaryota; Metazoa; Chordata; Mammalia; Perissodactyla; Equidae.